CCUACGGGUGGCAGCAGUGGGGAAUAUUGCGCAAUGGGCGAAAGCCUGACGCAGCGACGCCGCGUGAGGGAUGAAGGUCUUCGGAUCGUAAACCUCUGUCAGCAGGGAAGAACGGUCACUGUGCUAAUCAGCAGUGAAUUGACGGUACCUGCAAAGUAAGCACCGUCUAAAUCCGUGCCAGCAGCCGCGGUAAUACGGGGGGUGGGAGCGUUAAUCGGAAUUACUGGGCGUAAAGCGCUCGUAGGCGGUAUGUCAAGUCAAGGGGGAAAUCCCCGCGCUCAACGUGGGAACUGCCUUUGAAACUGGCAAACUGGAGUGUGUGAGAGGAUAGUGGAAUUCCAGGUGUAGGAGUGAAAUCCGUAGAUAUCUGGAGGAACAUCAGUGGCGAAGGCGACUAUCUGGCACAUAACUGACGCUGAGGAGCGAAAGCGUGGGUAGCAAACAGGAUUAGAUACCCGUGUAGUC
This 465-nucleotide ribosomal RNA is filed under the name uncultured bacterium. RNAcentral describes it as "partial 16S ribosomal RNA". It matches the Rfam family "Bacterial small subunit ribosomal RNA", at positions 338 to 795 of the family's 1533-position model. The record is from RNAcentral.